GAGAGAUUCAUCGUCAUUCCGCGGCGUACGGGCUGCGCGCUUCGAUGUCGUCGGCCUAGGUCGUCAGGCACGACGCGCGUCCGUCGACGUCCGCGGACGGCGUGCACUUCUCUCUUAGUAAAUACAUCGCGACCCGUUCGAUGUCGGUCUAAGCGCCGUUCGGGAGCCCCAUGGUCCCUUAACGGGGUCUAUGGGACCGCGACGGUGGCCGACCGGCCGUCGGACGGUAGUUCUGACGAAACGCGCACUCGUUUAUAACGAGUCCGGCCCGACGCAAGUCAACGUCGUAUCCAACGUACCGCCUUAGCGCGGACGUAGGUGCGGCGCGUCUGUUGUUGCUGCCGUGCAGUCUCGGAC
Molecule: ribosomal RNA, 357 nt
Filed under: Amastus obscurus
Lineage: Eukaryota; Metazoa; Arthropoda; Insecta; Lepidoptera; Erebidae
Description: partial 28S ribosomal RNA
Source: RNAcentral